RNAcentral lists this ribosomal RNA (253 nucleotides) under uncultured bacterium. RNAcentral's name for it is "partial 16S ribosomal RNA". It matches the Rfam family "Bacterial small subunit ribosomal RNA", at positions 524 to 776 of the family's 1533-position model. The record is from RNAcentral.
UACGUAGGGUGCAAGCGUUAUCCGGAAUUAUUGGGCGUAAAGAGCUCGUAGGCGGUUUGUCGCGUCUGCUGUGAAAACCGGAGGCUCAACCUCCGGCCUGCAGUGGGUACGGGCAAACUAGAGUGCGGUAGGGGAGAUUGGAAUUCCUGGUGUAGCGGUAGAAUGCGCAGAUAUCAGGAGGAACACCGAUGGCGAAGGCAGAUCUCUGGGCCGUAACUGACGCUGAGGAGCGAAAGCGUGGGGAGCGAACAGG